This 447-nucleotide ribosomal RNA is filed under the name uncultured bacterium. RNAcentral's name for it is "bacterial SSU rRNA". It matches the Rfam family "Bacterial small subunit ribosomal RNA", at positions 355 to 825 of the family's 1533-position model. The record is from RNAcentral.
UCGGGAAUUUUGGACAAUGGGCGAAAGCCUGAUCCAGCCAUGCCGCGUGAGUGACGAAGGUCUUCGGAUUGAAAAGCUCUUUUGGCGGGGACGAUAAUGACGGUACCCGCAGAAUAAGCCCCGGCUAACUUCGUGCCAGCAGCCGCGGUAAUACGAAGGGGGCUAGCGUUGUUCGGAAUUACUGGGCGUAAAGCGCACGUAGGCGGAUUUGUAAGUCAGGGGUGAAAUCCCGGGGCUCAACCUCGGAACUGCCCUUGAUACUGCAAAUCUCGAGUCCGAUAGAGGUGAGUGGAAUUCCUAGUGUAGAGGUGAAAUUCGUAGAUAUUAGGAAGAACACCAGUGGCGAAGGCGGCUCACUGGAUCGGUACUGACGCUGAGGUGCGAAAGCGUGGGGAGCAAACAGGAUUAGAUACCCUCGUAGUCCCUGAGCGGGCUGGCAAGGCGCAU